UCUUGGAAGGAGGAAGACAAAUGACUGGAGCCCCUGUGCAGCACUAAUAAGAGAUCUACAGUCCAGUGAUUGAAAUCACUGCCUGCACUGGCACCUCUUUUGGGCAUAUUUUAAGAGCCAACUGUUGCUGAACGACAAUCCCCUGCAAGGUGCUGAAGUAUGAAUUGAACUAACUGAGAGAGAAACGGACCCAAACACGACAGCCCUGCUCUCAGUAGAUGACAUUUAUUUCUUGACCUAAUCCAGCAGACUUUUAGACUAAACUCCUACUGAAAAUAAGCAGGAACCCUAGGCUGGGGAGCACCCUGGGCCCUCAGUGAGGGCUUUCUUGUCUCUUGGGUUCGCCCUGGACACAGAGCGGGCCCAACGUUGCAGCAUCGCGGGACACUGUGGCCUUCU
This is a long non-coding RNA of Nothoprocta perdicaria, 399 nucleotides long. RefSeq lists it as uncharacterized. The transcript is spliced from 2 exons. The record is from RefSeq and is a predicted model, not a curated record. NCBI's taxonomy places the organism in Eukaryota, Metazoa, Chordata, Aves, Tinamiformes, Tinamidae.